This 1338-nucleotide ribosomal RNA is filed under the name metagenome. Its description in RNAcentral is "bacterial LSU rRNA". It matches the Rfam family "Bacterial large subunit ribosomal RNA", at positions 1564 to 2910 of the family's 2925-position model. The record is from RNAcentral.
UGAGUCCGACUCUCUACGGAGAGGAAGUGACUGAUGUCAAGCUUCCCAGAAAAGCCCGAACCACGUUAAUUUCUAAUUACCUGUACCCGAAACCGACACAGGUAGGGAGGUAGAGAAUACUAAGGGGCGCGAGAUAACUCUCUCUAAGGAACUCGGCAAAAUUACCCCGUAACUUCGGGAGAAGGGGUGCCACCGAGAGGUGGUCGCAGUGAAUAGGCCCAGGCGACUGUUUACCAAAAACACAGGUCUCCGCCAAGUCGCAAGACGCAGUAUGGGGGCUGACGCCUGCCCAGUGCCGGAAGGUUAAGGAAGUUGGUUAGGGUAACCGAAGCUAGCGACUGAAGCCCCGGUGAACGGCGGCCGUAACUAUAACGGUCCUAAGGUAGCGAAAUUCCUUGUCGGGUAAGUUCCGACCCGCACGAAAGGCGUAACGAUCUGGGCACUGUCUCGGAGAGAGGCUCGGCGAAAUAGGAUUGUCUGUGAAGAUACGGACUACCUACACUUGGACAGAAAGACCCUAUGAAGCUUUACUGUAGCCUGGAAUUGGCUUCGGGCUUCUCUUGCGCAGGAUAGGUGGGAGGCUUUGAAAUCUGGCUUGUGGGUCAGAUGGAGCCAACGGUGAGAUACCACUCUAGAGAGGCUAGAAUUCUAACUUUAACCCGUUAACCGGGGAAAGAACAGUUUCAGGUGGGCAGUUUGACUGGGGCGGUCGCCUCCUAAAAGAUAACGGAGGCGCGCAAAGGUUCCCUCAGGCUGGUUGGAAAUCAGCCGCAGAGUGCAAAGGCAUAAGGGAGCUUGACUGCGAGACCUACAAGUCGAGCAGGGUGGAAACACGGCCUUAGUGAUCCGACGGCACCGCGUGGAAGGGCCGUCGCUCAACGGAUAAAAGUUACUCUAGGAUAACAGGCUGAUCUCCCCCAAGAGUUCACAUCGACGGGGAGGUUUGGCACCUCGAUGUCGGCUCAUCGCAACCUGGGGCGGAAGUACGUCCCAAGGGUUGGGCUGUUCGCCCAUUAAAGCGGUACGUGAGCUGGGUUCAGAACGUCGUGAGACAGUUCGGUCCAUAUCCGGUGUAGGCGUAAGAGCAUUGAGAGGAGCCUUCCUUAGUACGAGAGGACCGGGAAGGACGCACCGCUGGUGUACCUGUUAUCGUGCCAACGGUAAACGCAGGGUAGCCAAGUGCGGAGCGGAUAACCGCUGAAAGCAUCUAAGUGGGAAGCCCACCUCAAGAUGAGUGCUCUCACAGGGUUAACCUGGUAAGGUCACGGGAAGACUACCCGUUUAUAGGUGCUAGGUGGACGUUCAGUAAUGGAUGAAGCCGAGGCAUACUAACAGACC